UACAGAGGUCCCAAGCGUUGUUCGGAUUCACUGGGCGUAAAGGGUGCGUAGGAGGGCAGGUAAGUCAGUGGUGAAAUCUCUGGGCUUAACCCAGAAACUGCCGUUGAUACUAUCUGUCUUGAAUACCGUGGAGGUGAGCGGAAUAUGUCAUGUAGCGGUGAAAUGCUUAGAUAUGACAUAGAACACCAAUUGCGAAGGCAGCUCGCUACACGAAUAUUGACUCUGAGGCACGAAAGCGUGGGGAUCAAACAGG
Molecule: ribosomal RNA, 253 nt
Filed under: uncultured bacterium
Lineage: Bacteria
Description: partial 16S ribosomal RNA
Rfam family: Bacterial small subunit ribosomal RNA
Source: RNAcentral